AUCUGUCCUCUGACCUCCACGCCCACGGAUGGCCUGCCUCUCUCCCCGACAUAUAAAAAGAGUACCAUUAAUGCACACCACCAAAACUAACCAUGACAGAGAAGUCUUAAAGAGAGCCAAGAAAGCCCAAUGGGAAACAGCUGUUUGGCAACACCAAAGUCAACCAAGGUACCAAGCCAGGAUCAUGUCACCAGCGUACAGUCUGGGCCGAGGAUGGAUUCAGCAUUAAGUUAUAAGCUGAGCGAAGGUUCGUUUCCUUUAUAAACAAGCAGACAUGGCUGUGUUCCAAUAAAGUUCGAUUUACA
RNAcentral lists this long non-coding RNA (305 nucleotides) under Rattus norvegicus (Norway rat). Its description in RNAcentral is "long non-coding RNA NONRATT032383". The record is from RNAcentral. Lineage: Eukaryota; Metazoa; Chordata; Mammalia; Rodentia; Muridae.